Molecule: transfer RNA, 72 nt
Organism: Ovis aries (sheep)
Lineage: Eukaryota; Metazoa; Chordata; Mammalia; Artiodactyla; Bovidae
Rfam family: tRNA
About the family: Transfer RNA (tRNA) molecules are approximately 80 nucleotides in length. Their secondary structure includes four short double-helical elements and three loops (D, anti-codon, and T loops).
Source: Rfam
UCCCUGGUGGCUCAGAUGGUAAAGCGUCUGCCUACAAUGCCGGAGACCCGGGUUCAAUCCCUGGGUUGGGAA